This 77-nucleotide transfer RNA is filed under the name Alphaproteobacteria bacterium. RNAcentral's name for it is "tRNA-Arg". It matches the Rfam family "tRNA". Rfam says of the family: Transfer RNA (tRNA) molecules are approximately 80 nucleotides in length. Their secondary structure includes four short double-helical elements and three loops (D, anti-codon, and T loops). Further hydrogen bonds mediate the characteristic L-shaped molecular structure. tRNAs have two regions of fundamental functional importance: the anti-codon, which is responsible for specific mRNA codon recognition, and the 3' end, to which the tRNAs corresponding amino acid is attached (by aminoacyl-tRNA synthetases). tRNAs cope with the degeneracy of the genetic code in two manners: having more than one tRNA (with a specific anti-codon) for a particular amino acid; and 'wobble' base-pairing, i.e. permitting non-standard base-pairing at the 3rd anti-codon position. RNAcentral also lists the same sequence under 2 other names. Lineage: Bacteria; Pseudomonadati; Pseudomonadota; Alphaproteobacteria. The record is from RNAcentral.
GUGCCCGUAGCUCAAUUGGAUAGAGCAUCUGACUACGAAUCAGAAGGUUGGGAGUUCGACUCUCUCCGGGCACGCCA